UGGGGGAUCGUCCAAGGGCAGGACAUCAGAUUUUGGAUCUGAGAAUCUAGGUUCGAAUCCUAGUCCCCCAGCCA
RNAcentral lists this transfer RNA (74 nucleotides) under Nitrospirota bacterium. RNAcentral describes it as "Nitrospirae bacterium tRNA-Gln". It matches the Rfam family "tRNA". From Rfam's summary of the family: Transfer RNA (tRNA) molecules are approximately 80 nucleotides in length. Their secondary structure includes four short double-helical elements and three loops (D, anti-codon, and T loops). RNAcentral also lists the same sequence under 1 other name. Lineage: Bacteria; Pseudomonadati; Nitrospirota. The record is from RNAcentral.